UACGUAGGGACCAAGCGUUGUUCGGAUUUACUGGGCGUAAAGGGCGCGUAGGCGGCUUAACAAGUCACUUGUGAAAUCUCCGGGCUUAACUCGGAAAGGUCAACUGAUACUGUGCGACUAGAGUGCAGAAGGGGCAACUGGAAUUCUCGGUGUAGCGGUGAAAUGCGUAGAUAUCGAGAGGAACACCUGCGGCGAAGGCGGGUUGCUGGGCUGACACUGACGCUGAUGCGCGAAAGCCAGGGGAGCGAACGGG
RNAcentral lists this ribosomal RNA (253 nucleotides) under uncultured bacterium. Its description in RNAcentral is "partial 16S ribosomal RNA". It matches the Rfam family "Bacterial small subunit ribosomal RNA", at positions 524 to 776 of the family's 1533-position model. The record is from RNAcentral.